UACGGAGGGGGCAAGCGUUGAUCGGAAUUACUGGGCGUAAAGCGCGCGUAGGCGGCUUGAUAAGCCGGGUGUGAAAGCCCCGGGCUCAACCUGGGAACGGCAUCCGGUACUGCGAGGCUAGAGUGCAGGAGAGGAAGGUAGAAUUCCCGGUGUAGCGGUGAAAUGCGUAGAGAUCGGGAGGAACACCAGUGGCGAAGGCGGCCCUCUGGACUGACACUGACGCUGAGGUGCGAAAGCGUGGGUAGCAAACAGG
RNAcentral lists this unclassified non-coding RNA (253 nucleotides) under uncultured Halomonadaceae bacterium. Its description in RNAcentral is "contains 16S-23S intergenic spacer region". It matches the Rfam family "Bacterial small subunit ribosomal RNA", at positions 524 to 776 of the family's 1533-position model. The record is from RNAcentral. Lineage: Bacteria; Pseudomonadati; Pseudomonadota; Gammaproteobacteria; Oceanospirillales; Halomonadaceae.